AUACGUAGGUGGCAAGCGUUGUCCGGAUUUACUGGGUGUAAAGGGCGUGUAGGCGGGAUAGCAAGUCAGAUGUGAAAUACCAAGGCUUAACCUUGGGGGUGCAUUUGAAACUGUUAUUCUUGAGUGUCGGAGAGGGAAGCGGAAUUCCUAGUGUAGCGGUGAAAUGCGUAGAUAUUAGGAAGAACACCAGUGGCGAAGGCGGCUUUCUGGACGAUAACUGACGCUGAGGCGCGAAAGCGUGGGUAGCAAACAGGAUUGGAUACCCUGGUAGUCCACGCUGUAAACGAUGGAUACUAGGUGUAGGGGGUAUCGACCCCUUCUGUGCCGCAGUUAACACAAUAAGUAUCCCACCUGGGGAGUACGACCGCAAGGUUGAA
This 377-nucleotide ribosomal RNA is filed under the name uncultured bacterium. Its description in RNAcentral is "bacterial SSU rRNA". It matches the Rfam family "Bacterial small subunit ribosomal RNA", at positions 523 to 898 of the family's 1533-position model. The record is from RNAcentral.